RNAcentral lists this ribosomal RNA (468 nucleotides) under uncultured bacterium. Its description in RNAcentral is "partial 16S ribosomal RNA". It matches the Rfam family "Bacterial small subunit ribosomal RNA", at positions 28 to 507 of the family's 1533-position model. The record is from RNAcentral.
GACGAACGCUGGCGGCGUGCUUAACACAUGCAAGUCGAACGGAAAGGCCCUGCUUUUGUGGGGUGCUCGAGUGGCGAACGGGUGCGUAACACGUGAGUAACCUGCCCUUGACUUUGGGAUAACUUCAGGAAACUGGGGCUAAUAUCGGAUAGGAGCUCCUGCUGCAUGGUGGGGGUUGGAAAGUUUCGGCGGUUGGGGAUGGACUCGCGGCUUAUCAGCUUGUUGGUGGGGUAGUGGCUUACCAAGGCUUUGACGGGUAGCCGGCCUGAGAGGGUGACCGGCGACAUUGGGACUGCGAUACGGCCCAGACUCCUACGUUAGGCAGCAGUGGGAAAUAUUGCACAAUGGGCGGGAGCGUGAGACAGAAACGCCGCGUGCGGAAUGACGGCCUUCGGGUUGUAAACCGCUUUCGCCUGUGACGAAGCGUGAGUGACGGUAAUGGGUAAAGAAGCACCGGCUAACUACGUG